AGAGGUCCCGAGCGUUGUUCGGAUUUAUUGGGCGUAAAGGGUGCGUAGGUGGCAAAGUAAGUUGGAUGUGAAAUCCUGGGGCUUAACCUCAGAAUUGCAUUCAAUACUGCUUAGCUAGAGAGCUGUAGAGGAGACUGGAAUUUACGGUGUAGCAGUGAAAUGCGUAGAUAUCGUAAGGAACGCCAGUGGCGAAAGCGAGUCUCUGGGCAGCAUCUGACACUGAGGCACGAAGGCCAGGGGAGCAAACGGGAUUAGAUACCCCGGUAGUCCUGGCAGUAAACGGUGCGCGUUUGGUGUGGGCGGGUUCGACCCUGUCCGCGCCGAAGCUAACGCGUUAAACGCGCCGCCUGGGAAGUACGAUCGCAAGAUUA
RNAcentral lists this ribosomal RNA (371 nucleotides) under uncultured bacterium. Its description in RNAcentral is "bacterial SSU rRNA". It matches the Rfam family "Bacterial small subunit ribosomal RNA", at positions 527 to 896 of the family's 1533-position model. The record is from RNAcentral.